This is a long non-coding RNA of Temnothorax curvispinosus, 485 nucleotides long. RefSeq lists it as uncharacterized. The record is from RefSeq and is a predicted model, not a curated record. Lineage: Eukaryota; Metazoa; Arthropoda; Insecta; Hymenoptera; Formicidae. The transcript is spliced from 3 exons.
UUGCCAAGACCUCCAGUGAUACCGGUAUAUUCGAUCCUCGGGCGCCGGUGAUGAGCUCCAUCGUGCGACACAGUCGCACGUCGUCACGUAAAUCGUGUCGUAUAUUCACCGGCUGGCCGGGAAUUUUCACGCAGACUCGCAAUAUAUGUCCUAAGAAAGGACAUCGCAAGAAUUUUCGUCACAUCUCUAAGAUAUUAUUCGUACACAUACAUAAUGCCGAAACCCAAGGUAAAGGAGCAAUGAGCUGCUAUAAUUUGGAAAUCGAAAAACAGCGAGAAAAUAAAGAAGGGAGAAGCUAGCCUCUGUGACAUUGUUGAUCUCACUUGCGUGCCGAAAAAGUAUCGCACAGAAGGCUGUAUUGCGUCUCUGAAGUGGGUAGACACAUCGACAGUAACUGAAACAAACAUCAGGUUCUUUGAGACAGUGGUUACCGCGAUGAAGUCGACGUAUAUACCUGAAAAUAUUGAAGCUUCAAAGGAAUCUUC